CCUACGGGAGGCAGCAGUGGGGAAUAUUGGUCAAUGGACGAAAGUCUGAACCAGCCACGCCGCGUGCAGGAAGACGGCCCUAUGAGUUGUAAACUUCUUUUAUACGGGAGUAAAAGCUUCCACGUGUCUGUUUAUGUAUGUACCGUAUGUAUAAAGAUCGGCUAACUCCGUUCCAGCACCCGCGGUAAGACGGAGGAUGCGAGCGUUAUCUGGAUUUAUUUGGUGUAAAGGGAGCGUAGGCGGACGGUUAAGUCAGAUGUGAAAGCCUGCGGCUCAACCGCAGAAGUGCAGUGGAAACUGGUAGUCUUGAGUGCAGUAGAGGUAGGCGGAAUGCGAGGUGUAGCGGUGAAAUGCGUAGAGAUCAGGAAGAACACCGAUUGCGAAGGCAGCUCACUGGACUGCAACUGACGCUGAGGCUCGAAAGCGUGGGUAGCAAACAGGAUUAGAUACCCGUGUAGUC
This 460-nucleotide ribosomal RNA is filed under the name uncultured bacterium. RNAcentral describes it as "partial 16S ribosomal RNA". It matches the Rfam family "Bacterial small subunit ribosomal RNA", at positions 338 to 795 of the family's 1533-position model. The record is from RNAcentral.